RNAcentral lists this ribosomal RNA (469 nucleotides) under uncultured Lysobacteraceae bacterium. RNAcentral describes it as "bacterial SSU rRNA". It matches the Rfam family "Bacterial small subunit ribosomal RNA", at positions 336 to 797 of the family's 1533-position model. The record is from RNAcentral. Lineage: Bacteria; Pseudomonadati; Pseudomonadota; Gammaproteobacteria; Lysobacterales; Lysobacteraceae.
UUCCUACGGGGGGCAGCAGUGGGGAAUAUUGGACAAUGGGCGCAAGCCUGAUCCAGCAAUGCCGCGUGUGUGAAGAAGGCCUUCGGGUUGUAAAGCACUUUUAUCGGGAGCGAAAAGCGGAUGGCGAAUACCCGUCCGUGCUGACGGUACCCGAGGAAUAAGCACCGGCUAACUUCGUGCCAGCAGCCGCGGUAAUACGAAGGGUGCAAGCGUUAAUCGGAAGUACUGGGCGUAAAGCGUGCGUAGGCGGUUCGCUAAGUCUGCCGUGAAAGCCCCGGGCGCAACCUGGGAAUUGCGGUGGAUACUGGCGAGCUGGAGUGUGGUAGAGGAGGGUGGAAUUCCCGGUGUAGCGGUGAAAUGCGUAGAGAUCGGGAGGAACAUCAGUGGCGAAGGCGGCCCUCUGGACCAACACUGACGCUGAGGCACGAAAGCGUGGGGAGCAAACAGGAUUAGAUACCCCUGUAGUCCG